AACGAACGCUGGCGGCAGGCUUAACACAUGCAAGUCGAGCGCCCCGCAAGGGGAGCGGCAGACGGGUGAGUAACGCGUGGGAAUCUACCCAUCCCUACGGGAUAACACAGAGAAAUUUGUGCUAAUACCGUAUACGUCCUUCGGGAGAAAGAUUUAUCGGGGAUGGAUGAGCCCGCGUCGGAUUAGCUAGUUGGUGGGGUAAUGGCCUACCAAGGCGACGAUCCGUAGCUGGUCUGAGAGGAUGACCAGCCACAUUGGGACUGAGACACGGCCCAAACUCCUACGGGAGGCAGCAGUGGGGAAUAUUGGACAAUGGGCGCAAGCCUGAUCCAGCCAUGCCGCGUGAGUGAUGACGGCCUUAGGGUUGUAAAGCUCUUUCACCCACGACGAUAAUGACGGUAGUGGGAGAAGAAGCCCCGGCUAACUUCGUG
This 431-nucleotide ribosomal RNA is filed under the name uncultured bacterium. RNAcentral describes it as "bacterial SSU rRNA". It matches the Rfam family "Bacterial small subunit ribosomal RNA", at positions 29 to 507 of the family's 1533-position model. The record is from RNAcentral.